This 781-nucleotide ribosomal RNA is filed under the name uncultured archaeon. Its description in RNAcentral is "bacterial SSU rRNA". It matches the Rfam family "Archaeal small subunit ribosomal RNA", at positions 4 to 792 of the family's 1478-position model. The record is from RNAcentral.
UCGGUUGAUCCUGCCGGACCUGACUGCUAUCGGAUUGAUACUAAGCCAUGCGAGUCAUUGUAGUAAUACAAGGCAGACGGCUCAGUAACGCGUAGUCAACCUACCCUAUGGACGGGGAUAACCUCGGGAAACUGAGAAUAAUACCCGAUAGAACAUUAUGCCUGGAAUGGUUUAUGUUUCAAAUAAUUUAUUGCCGUAGGAUGGGACUGCGGCCUAUCAGUUUGUUGGUGAGGUAAUGGCCCACCAAGACUAUUACAGGUACGGGCUCUGAGAGGAGUAGCCCGGAGAUGGGUACUGAGACACGGACCCAGGCCCUAUGGGGCGCAGCAGGCGAGAAAACUUUGCAAUGUGCGAAAGCACGACAAGGUUAAUCCGAGUGGUUUCUGCUAAAGGAACCUUUUGUCAGUCCUAGAAACACUGAUGAAUAAGGGGUGGGCAAGUUCUGGUGUCAGCCGCCGCGGUAAAACCAGCACCUCNNUGGUCAGGAUGAUUAUUGGGCCUAAAGCAUCCGUAGCCUGCUUUGUAAGUUUUCGGUUAAAUCCAUACGCUCAACGUAUGGGCUGCCGGGAAUACUGCAAAGCUAGGGAGUGGGAGAGGUAGACGGUACUCGGUAGGAAGGGGUAAAAUCCUUUGAUCUAUUGAUGACCACCUGUGGCGAAGGCGGUCUACCAGAACACGUCCGACGGUGAGGGAUGAAAGCUGGGGGAGCAAACCGGAUUANAUACCCGGGUAGUCCCAGCUGUAAACUAUGCAAACUCAGUGAUGCAUUGGCUUGAUGCCA